CAGUCUUCUUUUAUUAUUAUUGAAUUAAUAAAUAAAAAUUAAUAAUAUUUUUAAUAUAUUAAAUAGGUUUGAUAAAUUCAUCUAUUAAAGUUUGAAGGGCUAGGACAAAAAAGAUAAGUAAUCCCGACACUUCUUACUUAUUUUUUAAAUUAUUGACUAUUUUAUCAUGAAAAAAAUUAUUCUAUAUUUUUAUAAAAUAAGGA
This 203-nucleotide long non-coding RNA is filed under the name Elaeis guineensis (African oil palm). RNAcentral describes it as "long non-coding RNA (EGUI_LNC041113)". Lineage: Eukaryota; Viridiplantae; Streptophyta; Magnoliopsida; Arecales; Arecaceae. The record is from RNAcentral.